GCUGGGUUAGCUCAGCUGGUUAGAACAUGGUGCUAAUAACACCAAGUUCACAGGUUCAAUCCCUGCUUACUGCA
This 74-nucleotide transfer RNA is filed under the name Pelecanus crispus (Dalmatian pelican). It matches the Rfam family "tRNA". From Rfam's summary of the family: Transfer RNA (tRNA) molecules are approximately 80 nucleotides in length. Their secondary structure includes four short double-helical elements and three loops (D, anti-codon, and T loops). Further hydrogen bonds mediate the characteristic L-shaped molecular structure. tRNAs have two regions of fundamental functional importance: the anti-codon, which is responsible for specific mRNA codon recognition, and the 3' end, to which the tRNAs corresponding amino acid is attached (by aminoacyl-tRNA synthetases). tRNAs cope with the degeneracy of the genetic code in two manners: having more than one tRNA (with a specific anti-codon) for a particular amino acid; and 'wobble' base-pairing, i.e. permitting non-standard base-pairing at the 3rd anti-codon position. The record is from Rfam by way of RNAcentral. Lineage: Eukaryota; Metazoa; Chordata; Aves; Pelecaniformes; Pelecanidae.